Molecule: ribosomal RNA, 1037 nt
Filed under: uncultured eukaryote
Lineage: Eukaryota
Description: partial 18S ribosomal RNA
Rfam family: Eukaryotic small subunit ribosomal RNA
Source: RNAcentral
AUUUCGGUUCAAAUGGAUAACCGUGGAAAAUCUAGAGCUAAUACAUGAAGAAAAAGCCGUGGUAAAAGACGGUGUGUAUAUUAGAAGGAAAUAACCUAUCCGAAAAGGAGGGUGAGACAAAGUAUUCAAAAGAACGGAUCGCAAAUAAAAAAAAGGCGACAAACCGAUCAAAUUUCUGCCCUAUCAACUGUGGACGGUAGCAUAGUGGGCUACGGUGGUAAUAACGGGUAACGGGGAAUUAGGGUUCGGUUCCGGAGAGGGGGCAUGAGAAACGGCCACCACUUCCAAGGAAGGCAGCAGGCACGAAAAUUACUCAAUCCUGACACAGGGAAGUAGUGACAAAAAAUAACAAUGGUCGAAUAAAAUUGUUUGACCAAUUGGAAUGAGAGAAAACUAAAGAAAACAUCGAGUAUCAAUUGGAGGGCAAGCCUGGUGCCAGCAGCCGCGGUAAUUCCAGCUCCAAUAGCGUAUACGAAUGUUGUUGCAGUUAAAAAGCUCGUAGUUGGAAAUGAUAAUGUAAACAAUUUUUUACACAAAAGAAGAACUUCGGUUCUUUGUAAAAGAACAUUAUUCUAUUACUUAUUUGUGACUUGAAAGAGUUGUUGGAACGAAAGUGAAAACUAUACAUCGGUAAAACGGUGUGUAACAAAAAGUAAAGAUUACUUUGAAUAAAUUAGAGUGUUUAAAGCAGACAAAAAAAAAGAUGUCUGAAUAGUAUAGCAUGGGAUAAUAGAAAAAGACUUGAAAACAGGAAGAAAAAAAAAUGGAUAGGAAAACUGAUUUCGAGAAAUGAUAAAUAGGAACGGUCGGGGGUAUUCGUAUUUUUCAGCAGAGGUGAAAUUCAAGGAUUUGAGAAAGACGACAUCAGCGAAAGCAUUUACCAAGGACGUUUUCAUUAAUCAAGAACGAAAGUUUGGGGAUCGAAGAUGAUUAGAUACCGUCGUAGUCCAACCAUWAACGAUGCCGACCAUAGAUGAGAGGUCGUCGCANGGAUGACUCCUUUCGAAAUUARAGGGAAACCUUGAUUUUCNGGUUCU